Molecule: long non-coding RNA, 614 nt
Filed under: Brassica napus (rape)
Lineage: Eukaryota; Viridiplantae; Streptophyta; Magnoliopsida; Brassicales; Brassicaceae
Description: long non-coding RNA (BNAP_LNC023759)
Source: RNAcentral
GAUGUGGAAACGAUGCAUGAGGAAUCAGAUGGCUUUGGCUCGUCCCUGGAGGCAUCCAUGAGGUGAUGGUUUUUUUUUUCUCAGAAGAUGAUACUACAUAAGGAAAGAGCGCUAGAAAUGCUUUUGGGUUUUAAGUAUAAGUGGAGAAAAGUAGUAAGAAGAUGAGAGAGAGAUGGGUUUGGUCUGGUUUUGCUGACACACAACACACACAUACACAAAGACAGAACAAAACACUUGAAGCUGAUUGGAACUCUCCACCAUCUAAUACCUGUGUUUAUCCCUUUUAUAGGAGCCAACUUUCACUUCACAUCAACCUUUUUAUUUGUCUGCUUUCUCCUUUAAUAGACAAACCUCUGUUCUCUAUUAUGCAUUAUUUUACUUUAUUUUUUUCUUCUUCUUCUCUAUGUCUUGUGCCCUUAUAUGCUUAAUAGUUCUUCAACUUGCAUGUCAUAUACUUCACCAAAAAAAAACUUACAUGUCAUAUAUGUUUUCUUAUAGUUUAUAACUGUGCUUGAUAUUUAUCAUCGAGUGGACCAUUGUGACCAGGAUAAAUCUGGCUCUGAUUGAUAGAUGAGUUGUUUCCUAUGGACAGAUUCUCAUAGGGGCCAGGGCCA